AGAGUUUGAUCAUGGCUCAGAUUGAACGCUGGCGGCAGGCCUAACACAUGCAAGUCGAGCGGCAGCACAAGUGAGUUUACUCAUGAGGUGGCGAGCGGCGGACGGGUGAGUAAUGCCUAGGGAUCUGCCCAGUCGAGGGGGAUAACAGUUGGAAACGACUGCUAAUACCGCAUACGCCCUACGGGGGAAAGAGGGGGACUUUCGGGCCUCUCGCGAUUGGAUGAACCUAGGUGGGAUUAGCUAGUUGGUGAGGUAAUGGCUCACCAAGGCGACGAUCCCUAGCUGUUCUGAGAGGAUGAUCAGCCACACUGGGACUGAGACACGGCCCAGACUCCUACGGGAGGCAGCAGUGGGGAAUAUUGCACAAUGGGGGAAACCCUGAUGCAGCCAUGCCGCGUGUGUGAAGAAGGCCUUCGGGUUGUAAAGCACUUUCAGUAGGGAGGAAAGGUUGUAAGUUAAUACCUUGCAGCUGUGACGUUACCUACAGAAGAAGGACCGGCUAACUCCGUGCCAGCAGCCGCGGUAAUACGGAGGGUCCAAGCGUUAAUCGGAAUUACUGGGCGUAAAGCGUGCGCAGGCGGUUUGUUAAGC
RNAcentral lists this ribosomal RNA (591 nucleotides) under uncultured Gammaproteobacteria bacterium. Its description in RNAcentral is "bacterial SSU rRNA". It matches the Rfam family "Bacterial small subunit ribosomal RNA", at positions 8 to 588 of the family's 1533-position model. Lineage: Bacteria; Pseudomonadati; Pseudomonadota; Gammaproteobacteria. The record is from RNAcentral.